GUGAGGUUUGGGGAGGGUAAGAUGUACGCAGUCCAUACCUCUACCUCUACAACAACAACAACAACAACAAACCCAGUGUAUUCCCACAAAGUGGGGUCUGGGGAGGGUAAGAUGUACGCAGUCCAUACCGCUACCUCCGAAGAAGUAGAGAGGUUGUUUCCGAUAGACCCCCGGCUCAAGAUAAAGACUAAUAAACAAGGAGGAUAGAUGACACAACGGAAAAAACAGGAAUAACAAAUAAUAGAAAUGAAACCAGAGAAAAAACAAAAAUACGAGAAAUAAAUGCAACACUAAAUAAGAAAAUAGGAACGAAGAAAUAAGAAAUAGGCCCUCCACCUAGUAAUAACAUAUCCUCACAUACCAACGACACCUACGUACACAGUCCUAAGGUUACGAACCCGGCUACACAAGAUCUCUCCUGACUGCCUGCUACAACCCACACACUCACACUAGCCUUCUACCCUUAUCCGCGACCUCCACACCUUCCUAUCUAGGGUCAUGUCCUCCGUAAGCUGAAGCUGCUCCAUGUCAUGCCUAAUCACCUCCCUCUAGUACUUCUUCGACCUACCUCUACUCCUCUUGAAACCAUCCAAAGCUAGCUUUUCAUACCUACGAACUAGGGCAUCCGCGCUCCUCCUCAUCACAUGCGCAAACCAUGUCAUACCUCUACCUCUAAAGAAGUAGAAAACUAAACUAAAAAUAAAAUAAUUAAAUUAAAAUAUGAAAUUACAAAAAUGCCCUCAACCAAAAGCAGGCAGCUGGAAAUAGGCAUGACAAAUGCCAGCUACUUGCUUCAACUGUCUGCUACUCACGCUUAUUUUUAUCGGAAGCAACCUCUCUACUUCAUCUGAGGUAGUGGUAUGGAUUGUGUACACUUUAUCCUCCUCAGACCCCACUUUGUAAAUGUCACAUACGGAUUCUGACACUGACGGGGAAGAAGGGAAAGGAACUAGGGAAGAGAAUUGGGUUCAUUAUGGGAGAUGGGAUAAGUUUUUGAGUGAAAAGAUAAAAUUGUCCGUUUGGUUUAAAUGUUUUAUUGUGAUAUUGAGGACAUUUAUGGAAAUUGAAAAAUGGGG
RNAcentral lists this long non-coding RNA (1076 nucleotides) under Capsicum annuum. RNAcentral's name for it is "long non-coding RNA (CANN_LNC020822)". The record is from RNAcentral. Lineage: Eukaryota; Viridiplantae; Streptophyta; Magnoliopsida; Solanales; Solanaceae.